This is a long non-coding RNA of Melospiza melodia melodia, 2424 nucleotides long. RefSeq lists it as uncharacterized. The record is from RefSeq and is a predicted model, not a curated record. NCBI's taxonomy places the organism in Eukaryota, Metazoa, Chordata, Aves, Passeriformes, Passerellidae. The transcript has 3 exons.
GAGCAAAUAAAAUCACCACCAAACUUGGCUGCAGCUUCUUUCUGCUGAGGGGGCAUGGAGGCAGAGUCCAACAAUAUUUUGCCAUGGGAAAACCAGGAACAGUGGAAAGCAGGAACAGAAGACUCCUGUCUCCAGGGCCUUUCCAGAGCUGUGGUAGCAUUUUGUUUGUUACACCCACCGAAGCGAGCGGGCAGCAGAGAAGGGCUCGGUGCCCCGGCAGUCCCAUCCAUUCGCACUCACCUCAGGCUCUCUUCCUGUGACCCGGGCAGGACACUGUCGGGACGAUCCCGUCUCCUCCUGUACAGACCUGAAUGUGACAACUCUUUCAGCUGCAAGGCCGUCAUAUUCCCCUACCUGGAGGAGGGUUGGUUUUUUUUAAAGAUUCUUAUUUACUACAUUAGCCUCUGUUCAGCAUAUACUUAAUGCUUUUGGAUUAAACACGACUCAAGCCAAUAAAAACCAAAAGGACAAUUCUUCACCCACUUUGCUGUACGUUGCAUUAAUCUGAAACACAUCACUUCAUUAAACUUUUAUUUAUCUGCACGAGAAGUUGCUGGGCUAGGGCAGCAACUUUUACUCAAAUGUCCUUGGAAACCAGAGCUGCAUCAAGACAGAGCAUGCAAAUUAAAGGAAUAUAGCAAGUCCAGACACAAAAAUCAGUUGUUAGAAAGAUCAAAUCCAACUAAAUAUAAAGGAAGGCAAGAUAGAUUUUUAAAGUAAAACUAGUGACUCAGCUCCAUAGCUCAUGUCACAGGCCUCUUCAGCAAACUCCAACAUGGAUCCACACUGAUAAAGAAAAAACUUCCUUGGAGAGCUUCUGAUCAAGCUAAAAGCUUUCUACAAGAAGAAACACAAACUGGACUAGUAGCACUGUGGGAUUGCCCAUGAAUCCUCACAAGAAACGAGGUUUCAAAUCUGAAUUAACCCAAGCAGUCAAACUUUAGGUUCUGAGUAUCAAAUACAAGUUAUAAGGGUGUUUUUUGCAGAGACAUUGCAGAACACAAAUGUUAUUUCUUGACUAACUCACUUAAAUGCUUCCAAAAGGAACUUGGACAGACGUGGCUCUCCAAGAAGAGCUUUCCCAGAGAGUGCCUCCUGUUCCCCACACCCCUUUUUACCUUCUAGCCCCUAUCUGCUGUUUAUAAUUCCUUUUUUGAAAGAUUACAUUCUUCUCAUGUGGGAUGGGGCCACUUGGACCUUUCACAUUCCAUCAGAAUUUUUGAGGACCAGCCAAGUUACCACAGCUUUUCUCAUUACCAGUAAUGCACAGCCUUCUUGUAUAUCCUGUACUUUGAAGGUUUUCUCUUCAUUUUCCAGUGGGUGAUUCUUCUCUGAUGCAAUUGACCAUCCUCCUGCCCCCAGAGAAAGCCAACAUUGCUACUGUGAUGUGAUGUGACAGAUAACCAUUGUGGUACCUGUCUUUCAGCAGAGGAAAAUAUUCCCCCAUGUCUAACCAGCACAAAGUAUGCAGUCCUUCGUUCAUCACAAGCAGUAAAUAACUUUUUAUUAUGUGGGACAAGGCUCAUGGCUGAGUUUUCACAGCAGUCCUACAGAGUACUGUCUUGAUACUCCAGGCCUCCAGUGCUCCCCCUAAAAUUUCUGUAGAAGUACUGCUGUUCUGGUGACUCUAGGUAUUCAGCAGAAUUUUCCAGUUUAAAAAUCUUUUAAGAUAUACAGGUUAUGCCUGGCUACUUUAUACUACAUUCAAAGGGAUACGAACAUCAAUUCAUGAUGCUGUAAAACAUGUAAUUGAAUUCAGAAACAACAAUAAAUGUCAAGUGCUACAAAUUCAGGACAUUUCUUCAUAAGCCUAUAUUUACAGAGAAUAUACAUUAGCUAUAGAAACCAAAAAAGAUGAAGUUUUAGGUCUCUUAUUCCACACAGAAAAGUCAAUGUGUGUCAUCUGUUAUUCCCUCCAGUGGCAUGUUCUUUUUUUGGUUUUUUUUUCAACCUUUGAAAAACCUACCAAAUCUCAAUUAAAUUUAGUUGAAGAUUUUCAAAUCGAUAGAAAAAAUUGCUUUCAUGGCAGCACAGUCAGUCAAAACAAUAAUCAGAAGAGUAUUCUAAUACCACAGGAAUGCCUGUAGUGUGCUCACAGUUACAAGGUGGCUGUGUGUUCAAAUAAGCACAUUCCUCCAUCCUGUUUAUCACUGGAAUCAGUUUCCAGAGGAAUGUGUACAGGAAUGACUGUUUUCUACUGUUUCUCACAAGAUCUGGAAGAAAGCACAUAUUGAAGUGAAGGAAAAGGCUUAUACAUCAGCGAAGGACUUGCUGCAGAAAAUGAAGGAAGGUGGCAACAACCCUUCUGGCAGUUUUGCAAGAAUCUCCAAAGCACCCAAAUGAUGCGCUGAUGCCAACAAAGCUUCACAGCUUUCUGGACCUGCAGAAUGAGUUCCCACAGAUGGGUUUGGGUGCCAAGGAAUA